Molecule: ribosomal RNA, 351 nt
Filed under: Triticum aestivum (bread wheat)
Lineage: Eukaryota; Viridiplantae; Streptophyta; Magnoliopsida; Poales; Poaceae
Description: partial small subunit ribosomal RNA
Source: RNAcentral
AUGGGCGUCCCGGCGUUCUACCGGUGGCUGGCGGAGAAGUACCCGAUGGUGGUGGUGGACGCGGUGGAGGAGGAGGCCGUGGAGAUCGACGGCGUGAAGGCGCCGAUCGACACGUCCAAGGCCAACCCCAACGGCCUCGAGUUCGACAGCCUCUACCUCGACAUGAACGGGAUCAUACCUACCUACUUGUACUUUAUUGGGCCCUCGCCAACGACAUUUGCUGAGGUCUUCCAGUGCAUGUUCGAUUACAUAGACAGGCUCUUUCUCAUGGUUCGCCCUCGCAAGCUUCUGUACAUGGCCAUUGAUGGUGUGGCUCCUCGUGCUAAGAUGAACCAACAACGCUCUAGAUGA